This 963-nucleotide long non-coding RNA is filed under the name Gossypium raimondii (Peruvian cotton). Its description in RNAcentral is "long non-coding RNA (GRAI_LNC000209)". Lineage: Eukaryota; Viridiplantae; Streptophyta; Magnoliopsida; Malvales; Malvaceae. The record is from RNAcentral.
GGCUCACCCGAAAGCUUCCAUUUCAAUGAUUUUAUACCCUUUUAUUUAAACAAAUAAUAAUAAUGGGGUUGGGCACAUCCCCAAGCGCAAUUUGAAUACAAAGGAUGGCCAUGCUUAAGCAAAAGCCUAGAUAAAAAAACAAAAGGAAAGCACAACAUUCGGUAUUCCUUUACUUUUAUUAGGUUUUUCACUCUUUAUCUUUUGAAAAAAAAUAUAGCAUUAUAUCUAUUGUGUAUUAUAUCAAUUGAUGAUUAAUCAAAAGUGUGAAUAGCAUUAUAAUAUAAAUAAAAGAAGGUCAAAAGAUCCCAUAAAAAAGGAACAAAUAAGCUCUAAGCUAAACACUUUUAUAGAGACCCAGUAUGCAUGCUUGAACAAAGGUCUAAGCCGUGCAAAACAAAUAGAAGCGAAGGUGGCCCUUCGGUAGUAAUUUCUUCAAGAUAUCAUAGCCAACAUAGAGUGAUGAUAGCCUCUAGAUUAAAAAAAUAGUCCCCACAUGAAGUGUUGAGUCUCGCAACAGAUAAAGCAAACACAACAAAUCUCACACUUUAAAACACACAAGAAUAGAAAAAAAUUUACAUAUAGUGAAGAGGCAAAUAGCAUAAGUUAAAUCUCACAUCAAGGAGAGCCAAAGGCCUACAUCGAGGCCAAAAAAAAAAAAAUUACUCUAAAGAGGCCACUUCAUGCUGAGAAAUGGUCACUAGCCAGUGAAGGAGGCAGUAAGAACAUGAGGGGUGGAUGAGAUGGAAUAGGGAGGGAAGAGGAAAGAAAAAUAUUAGGUGAGAGGAAGGGGCAAAGAGGGAAAGAAAGGAGGAGAAAAUGACAAAGGCCGAAUAAGGGAUGAGAGACGUGGAAGGAAGGGCCAAUGAGGUGGCUAUGAUUGGCCACUGGUGAGCCAAGCGGCCAACCACCAAGGAGGCACAAAAUGAGCAACAAAGGUGGUGGCUUUUUAAAGAGAAUAUAAAG